UGGGGAAUCUUCCGCAAUGGGCGAAAGCCUGACGGAGCAACGCCGCGUGAGUGAAGACGGCCUUCGGGUUGUAAAACUCUGUGAUUCGGGACGGAAGAUAAGUAGACGAAUAAUCUGCAUAAGUGACGGUACCGAAAAAGCAAGCCACGGCUAACUACGUGCCAGCAGCCGCGGUAAUACGUAGGUGGCAAGCGUUGUCCGGAAUUAUUGGGCGUAAAGCGCGCGCAGGCGGCUACUUAAGUCCAUCUUAAAAGUGCGGGGCUUAACCCCGUGAUGGGAUGGAAACUGAGAAGCUGGAGUGUCGGAGAGGAAAGUGGAAUUCCUAGUGUAGCGGUGAAAUGCGUAGAGAUUAGGAAGAACACCGGUGGCGAAGGCGACUUUCUGGACGACAACUGACGCUUAGGCGCGAAAGCGUGGGGAGCAAACAGG
Molecule: ribosomal RNA, 429 nt
Filed under: Verrucomicrobiota bacterium
Lineage: Bacteria; Pseudomonadati; Verrucomicrobiota
Description: Verrucomicrobia bacterium partial 16S ribosomal RNA
Rfam family: Bacterial small subunit ribosomal RNA
Source: RNAcentral